AUACAUGCAAGUCGAACGAACUCUGGUAUUGAUUGGUGCUUGCAUCAUGAUUUACAUUUGAGUGAGUGGCGAACUGGUGAGUAACACGUGGGAAACCUGCCCAGAAGCGGGGGAUAACACCUGGAAACAGAUGCUAAUACCGCAUAACAACUUGGACCGCAUGGUCCGAGUUUGAAAGAUGGCUUCGGCUAUCACUUUUGGAUGGUCCCGCGGCGUAUUAGCUAGAUGGUGGGGUAACGGCUCACCAUGGCAAUGAUACGUAGCCGACCUGAGAGGGUAAUCGGCCACAUUGGGACUGAGACACGGCCCAAACUCCUACGGGAGGCAGCAGUAGGGAAUCUUCCACAAUGGACGAAAGUCUGAUGGAGCAACGCCGCGUGAGUGAAGAAGGGUUUCGGCUCGUAAAACUCUGUUGUUAAAGAAGAACAUAUCUGAGAGUAACUGUUCAGGUAUUGACGGUAUUUAACCAGAAAGCCACGGCUAACUACGUGCCAGCAGCCGCGGUAAUACGUAGGUGGCAAGCGUUGUCCGGAUUUAUUGGGCGUAAAGCGAGCGCAGGCGGUUUUUUAAGUCUGAUGUGAAAGCCUUCGGCUCAACCGAAGAAGUGCAUCGGAAACUGGGAAACUUGAGUGCAGAAGAGGACAGUGGAACUCCAUGUGUAGCGGUGAAAUGCGUAGAUAUAUGGAAGAACACCAGUGGCGAAGGCGGCUGUCUGGUCUGUAACUGACGCUGAGGCUCGAAAGUAUGGGUAGCAAACAGGAUUAGAUACCCUGGUAGUCCAUACCGUAAACGAUGAAUGCUAAGUGUUGGAGGGUUUCCGCCCUUCAGUGCUGCAGCUAACGCAUUAAGCAUUCCGCCUGGGGAGUACGGCCGCAAGGCUGAAACUCAAAGGAAUUGACGGGGGCCCGCACAAGCGGUGGAGCAUGUGGUUUAAUUCGAAGCUACGCGAAGAACCUUACCAGGUCUUGACAUACUAUGCAAAUCUAAGAGAUUAGACGUUCCCUUCGGGGACAUGGAUACAGGUGGUGCAUGGUUGUCGUCAGCUCGUGUCGUGAGAUGUUGGGUUAAGUCCCGCAACGAGCGCAACCCUUAUUAUCAGUUGCCAGCAUUAAGUUGGGCACUCUGGUGAGACUGCCGGUGACAAACCGGAGGAAGGUGGGGAUGACGUCAAAUCAUCAUGCCCCUUAUGACCUGGGCUACACACGUGCUACAAUGGAUGGUACAACGAGUUGCGAACUCGCGAGAGUAAGCUAAUCUCUUAAAGCCAUUCUCAGUUCGGAUUGUAGGCUGCAACUCGCCUACAUGAAGUCGGAAUCGCUAGUAAUCGCGGAUCAGCAUGCCGCGGUGAAUACGUUCCCGGGCCUUGUACACACCGCCCGUCACACCAUGAGAGUUUGUAACACCCAAAGUCGGUGGGGUAACCUUUUAGGAACCAGCCGCCUAAGU
This 1446-nucleotide ribosomal RNA is filed under the name Lactiplantibacillus plantarum. RNAcentral describes it as "bacterial SSU rRNA". It matches the Rfam family "Bacterial small subunit ribosomal RNA". The record is from RNAcentral. Lineage: Bacteria; Bacillati; Bacillota; Bacilli; Lactobacillales; Lactobacillaceae.